RNAcentral lists this ribosomal RNA (460 nucleotides) under uncultured bacterium. RNAcentral's name for it is "partial 16S ribosomal RNA". It matches the Rfam family "Bacterial small subunit ribosomal RNA", at positions 338 to 795 of the family's 1533-position model. The record is from RNAcentral.
CCUACGGGUGGCAGCAGUGAGGAAUAUUGGUCAAUGGACGAGAGCCUGAACCAGCCAAGUAGCGUGAAGGAUGACUGCCCUAUGGGUUGUAAACUUCUUUUAUAUGGGAAUAAAAUGUUCCACGUGUGGGAUUUUGUAUGUACCAUAUGAAUAAGGAUCGGCUAACUCCGUGCCAGCAGCCGCGGUAAUACGGAGGAUCCGAGCGUUAGCCGGAUUUAUUGGGUUUAAAGGGAGCGUAGGUGGAUUGUUAAGUCAGUUGUGAAAGUUUGCGGCUCAACCGUAAAAUUGCAGUUGAAACUGGCAGUCUUGAGUACAGUAGAGGUGGGCGGAAUUCGUGGUGUAGCGGUGAAAUGCUUAGAUAUCACGAAGAACUCCGAUUGCGAAGGCAGCUCACUGGACUGCAACUGACACUGAGGCUCGAAAGUGUGGGUAUCAAACAGGAUUAGAUACCCUAGUAGUC